This is a non-coding RNA of Schistosoma haematobium, 49 nucleotides long. The record is from Rfam. NCBI's taxonomy places the organism in Eukaryota, Metazoa, Platyhelminthes, Trematoda, Strigeidida, Schistosomatidae.
AUCCAACUGUCAAGUCCCAAAUAGGACGAAACGGGGCGUCUAACUGGAU